This 4559-nucleotide unclassified non-coding RNA is filed under the name Priapulus caudatus. RNAcentral's name for it is "aTP-binding cassette sub-family A member 2-like, transcript variant X3". The record is from RNAcentral. Lineage: Eukaryota; Metazoa; Priapulida; Priapulimorpha; Priapulimorphida; Priapulidae.
GUGAUGAAGAUGAUGGGCAUGAGUAAUGCGGUGCACUGGCUUGCCUGGGCUAUCACAUCAUUUACACAGAUGUCAAUCACCAUGGUGAUACUGACGGUGAUGCUGCGACUGGGCAACGUUCUUGCCUAUAGUAACCCCGUGAUCAUAUUCAUGAUGUUAGAGAUAUUCGGCCUCGCUACCAUAUCAUUCUCGUUUUUAAUAAGCGUGCUAUAUUCGAAGGCUAAACUAGCAGCAGCUUGCGCUGGCAUCAUAUACUUUCUGUCGUACGUUCCCUGCAUGUACAUCGCCAUCAGAGAGGAAUCGGCUCACAUGAAAAUGUCCACCACCGUUAAGCGCAUUGCUUCUCUGAUGUCAACGUCUGCAUUUGGACUCGGUGCCAAGUACUUUGCGUUCUAUGAGGAGGGAGGCAGUGGCGUGCAGUGGUCGAACUUCGAUAAAUCGCCCGUAGAAGACGACGAUUUUACGCUGUAUGAGGUGACGAUUAUGAUGAUCGUCGACACGGUGCUGUACAUCGUGCUGAUGUGGUACAUAGAGAACAUCCACCCAGGCUCCUAUGGACUACCAAAGCCAUGGUAUUUUCCAUUAACAAAGUCUUACUGGCUCGGUGCAUCUAAAACAGAUCUGGAGUUUUGCAGCAUUUGUCCUGACAACGCACCAAUAACUCUGAUGGAGGAGGACCAGGCUCAUGUGCUCGAUGGGGAUCGUGACCCCAGGCUGUUUGAGGAAGAGACCUCUCACCUUCCUCUCGGUGUCUGCAUAGACAACCUGCUCAAGGUUUACAGUGAUGGAAAUAAAUUAGCAGUGAACAGACUGAGUCUAAAUCUAUAUGAAGGUCAGAUCACUUCUUUUCUUGGACACAACGGUGCUGGCAAGACAACCACAAUGUCCAUCCUGACAGGUCUCUUUCCACCAACAUCUGGCACAGCGACCAUCUACGGCCACGAUAUCCGUGCAGAGAUGGAUGAGAUUCGGCAGUCACUGGGCAUGUGUCCUCAGCACAACGUGCUGUUCCACAAACUCACUGUAGAGGAACACCUGUGGUUCUAUGCCAUGCUAAAGGGAGGAACCCACAAGAACAUCAAGGAGGAAAUUGACCAGUUGAUAGAGGACGUAGGACUACCUAACAAGCGCAACAGCUGCGUCGACUAUCUGUCCGGCGGCAUGAAGCGAAAGCUGUCGGUCGCGAUCGCGUUUGUUGGCGGAGCGAAGACGAUCAUACUGGAUGAGCCAACAGCUGGCGUCGACCCGUUCGCUCGUCGUGCCAUCUGGGAUCUGCUGAUCAAGUACAAGAAAGGGCGCACAGUCCUGCUGUCGACGCAUCACAUGGAUGAGGCAGACAUACUAGGAGACCGCAUUGCCAUCAUAUCUAAUGGUCAGCUGAAGUGCUGCGGCUCUUCACUGUUCCUCAAGUCUGUGCUGGGAGAGGGCUACCACCUUACAGUAGUGAAGAUGCCUGACAGUAGCAGUGACAGUGAUGAUCCAUGCAUUCUCAACUCAUCACGAGGUUCCAUGCAACCAUUCAGUACCCUGUGCGAGCAAAGCCAGGUCACCGACUUCAUCACCAGCCACGUUGAGACGGCAUACCUAGAAUCUGAGAGCAACCACGAGCUGCACUACAUCCUUCCUACGGAUGAGAUAAGGAGUGGAGGCUUUGUGUCUCUGUUCAGGGCACUGGAGCGCAGCCUUGAUCAACUCCACAUCUCCAGCUAUGGCCUGAAGGACUCCACACUGGAAGAGGUCUUCCUCAACAUAGCUCAGGCUGCUGGCAUCAACAAUGAAGAUGGCGAGAUUGCUGGUAGACAUGACAAUGCCUCGCCAGCUCACACUGUCGGCGGCCCACAUGAUCUAGAGCUAGGCAGCCUAGCAGAAAACAAUGUACCACAGCCCUUGAUUGGCUCGCACUCAUUCGUGAAUAACAGUAGUGACAGCAACAGCAAUACUGACUACUCGACAGCUGGACUGGUCAACACUGACCGUCUGGAGAGAGGGCGUUAUCCAAUGACAAGGAACUGGCGCCACGCGCGACACUUCUGGACCAUUCUAGUCAAGCGCAUGCACUACACUCGCCGAAACUGGAAGGGCGUGUGCACACAGGUGUUACUGCCGGCAUUCUUUGUCUGCAUUGCUAUGACCGUGGCUCUGACAGCACCUGGCAUGGGUGAGGAUUUGCCAAUGAUGGUGCUCAGCCCUCCUGACCAGUACUUCAAUGUCACGCAGCCCCAUGGCAAUGCUAUACCAUUUACUGAUGAGAUGCAAGAGCCACCUGAAUGUUGGCCACAAUGGUCUCAGGAUGCUAACCCACAGCAGCUAGUCGCCACACUCUAUCUACCAUCAGGCGUGGGUGCCACGUGUGUGCUAAAGGAUCCCUUCAACAACACAGAUUUUCACAACAUGUCGGCAAACAACUUCUAUCUACUAGCAGAGUAUUUUACAGCAUCAUGCAUGAGUGUGUUUGUGAAAGGUGUGCCUCUAGAAAAUUUCGUACCGCCACCACCGACUGCAGCACCAUUACAGCAAAGCUCUGACGUCAACUACACAACACUGCCACCUGCGACAGAGAGAAGCGAUCAUCCUAGGAUGUACCCCCUGUGUUACUGUGCUCCUGAUAAGACUGGCUUCAUCUGUCCGCCGGGCGGCUACACUGACCCACCGCAGAAGCAGGCCAUCACAGGUGACAUGUUGAUCGACAUCACUGGUCAGAACUCAUCCGAAUACUUCCUGUACACUACCGACAAGUUCAGACUACGAAGGUACGGUGGCUUAUCGUUUGGUAAUGUGGUAGACUAUGUGCCAGAGUGGUUUGGCCAAAAUGCGAAGCCUUUGUUCCGCAAGAUUGCCGUACGAAAUGUUGCAAAGGCAUGGUACAACCAUCAGGGAUAUCACUCGAUACCAACAUACCUUAAUACUCUGAAUAAUGCGAUAUUGAGGGCUAACCUGCCUGCAAGCAAAGGCAACCCAGCAGCUUAUGGAAUCACAGUGAUAAAUCACCCCAUGGCAGGAACUAAUGAUCUUCUAUCGUUUGAUUACCUGCUGCAGGGAACUGACGUGCUGAUCGCGAUCUUCGUGGUGAUAGCGAUGUCGUUCGUUCCGGCCAGCUUCGUGCUGUUCCUCGUUUACGAGCGCAGCAUGAAGGCCAAGCACCUACACAUGAUGUGCGGAGUCUCUCCGAUCACCUACUGGCUUGCCAACUUCCUCUGGGACAUGUGCAAUUCACUCAUCCCCAGCAUCAUUUGCAUCAGCAUUUUCCGGUUGUUCAACGUUCCAGCGUAUGCGUCCGAAAUGAACUUUCCAGCUGUUGUCGCUCUCUUUCUCAUGUAUGGGUGUGCAAUCACUCCCAUCAUGUAUCCGGCGUCGUUCUUCUUCACGGAGCCGAGCAUGGCCUACAUCUGUCUCAUCGUAGGCAACCUCUUUGUUGGCAUCACCUGCAUCCUCACUAGCUUCAUUCUGGAGAUGUUCACCUUUGGCAAUGGAACGUCUGAUUAUGAAUACUUCAAGACAAUCCACGAGACAUUGAAGACUGUGUUUCUGAUUUUCCCCAACUAUGCACUCGGGCGAACUCUGAUGGACAUUGCCUUUAAUGAAUACUACAACCAGUAUUUUGCUCGUACAGACCAGUAUGACAAGAUUGUUUCGCCAUUAUCCUGGCAAUUGGUACCUCGCAGUAUGGUUGCCAUGGCAACGAUGGGGCUCAUCUUCCUAGUCAUCACGUUGUUUGCUGAGUACAAGUUUUGCUACAAGUCGAAGAGGCUGGCAGUAAGCAGCACAGAAGUGGAAGAUGAGGAUGCUGACGUGGCAGCAGAGAGGAAGCGUGUGCUGCAGGGAGCAGCAGACUUUGUGCGUGUGGAGAACCUCACUAAGGAAUACUCCACACACAAGCUAGGCAAGCUGCUAGCUGUUGAUAAACUCUGCUUCGGUGUGCCACAAGGAGAGUGCUUUGGGCUUCUUGGAGUGAAUGGUGCGGGUAAGACAACUACCUUUAAAAUGUUGACAGGAGAUACAUCAAUAACAGGAGGCGAUGCAUUCCUUAAUAACAAAAGCAUCAUGACAGAUGCACGGCUGGUGCAGCAGAGUACUGGGUACUGCCCACAGUUCGACGCUCUCUACGAUGAGCUUACCCCUAGGGAACAUCUCACACUGUACGCACGGUUUCGUGGUGUUCCCUUCCACUACGAGAAACAGAUGGUUGAUUGGUCACUAAGGAAACUUGCUCUAACGCUGUAUGCAGACAAGACAUCAGGAACUCUAAGUGGGGGAAAUAGGCGAAAGCUUUCCACAGCUAUUGCUCUUGCGGGCAAUCCUGUCGUGUUAUUUCUGAAGAUUUCUUUGGGAUCUCAUACGGGGUUUGAUCAAGGAGGGUUGCUCGGUUAUUCUGACAUCACACAGCAUGGAGGAGUGUGAGGCGCUCUGCACUAGGUUGGCCGUCAUGGUCAAUGGCAAGAUGAAGUGUCUAGGCUCCACACAGCACUUAAAAAACAGGUUUGGUGAUGGGUACACAAUACAAGUAAGAGCCAAGGGUUCGCAGCCAAACCUAGAUCCUAUCAUAAGACAUCUCGCACACC